CUGAGUGAGGGUGCAAGCCCGACCUCCAACCCCAUGUAAAUCAUACCAUGUUGCCUCGGGGGCGACCCGGCCCUUCUGGGCGUCGGGGCCCCCGGUGGACCCAUAACACUGCAUCUGUGCGUCUGAGUGAUUAAUCAAUCAAUUA
This 145-nucleotide unclassified non-coding RNA is filed under the name uncultured Ascomycota. Its description in RNAcentral is "sequence contains ITS1". Lineage: Eukaryota; Fungi; Ascomycota. The record is from RNAcentral.